GACGAACGCUGGCGGCGUGCUUAACACAUGCAAGUCGAACGAUGAAGCCGGAGCUUGCUCUGGUGAAUUAGUGGCGAACGGGUGAGUAACACGUGAGUAACCUGCCCUUGACUCUGGGAUAACUGCGGGAAACUGUAGCUAAUACCGGAUACGACCCUCGGAGGCAUCUCCUGGUGGUGGAAAGAAUUUCGGUCAAGGAUGGACUGGCGGCCUAUCAGCUAGUUGGUGAGGUAAAGGCUCACCAAGGCGACGACGGGUAGCCGGCCUGAGAGGGUGGCCGGCCACACUGGGAUGGAGACACUGCCCAGACUCAUACGGGAGGCAGCAGUGGGGAAUAUUGCACAAUGGGCGCAAGCCUGAUGCAGCAACGCCGCGUGAGGGAUGACGGCCUUCGGGUUGUAAACCUCUUUUAGCAGGGAAGAAGCGAAAGUGACGGUACCUGCAGAAAAAGCACCGGCUAACUACGUGCCAGCCGCCGCCGUAA
RNAcentral lists this ribosomal RNA (484 nucleotides) under uncultured bacterium. RNAcentral describes it as "partial 16S ribosomal RNA". It matches the Rfam family "Bacterial small subunit ribosomal RNA", at positions 28 to 523 of the family's 1533-position model. The record is from RNAcentral.